UGGGGAAUUUUUCGCAAUGGGCGAAAGCCUGACGAAGCAACGCCGCGUGGAGGAUGACGGCCCUCGUGGUCUUAAACUCCUGUCUAGCGGGACGAAAGUAUUGGAGGUGAAUAAUCUCCGAUAUUGACUGUACCGCUGGAGGAAGCUCCGGCCAACUCCGUGCCAGCAGCCGCGGUAAUACGGAGGGUGCAAGCGUUAUCCGGAUUCACUGGGUUUAAAGGGUGCGUAGGUGGGUUGGUAAGUCAGUGGUGAAAUCCCCGAGCUUAACUUGGGAACUGCCAUUGAUACUAUCAGUCUUGAAUACCGUGGAGGUCAGCGGAAUAUGUCAUGUAGCGGUGAAAUGCUUAGAUAUGACAUAGAACACCAAUUGCGAAGGCAGCUGGCUACACGAAUAUUGACACUGAGGCACGAAAGCGUGGGGAUCAAA
This 427-nucleotide ribosomal RNA is filed under the name uncultured bacterium. Its description in RNAcentral is "bacterial SSU rRNA". It matches the Rfam family "Bacterial small subunit ribosomal RNA", at positions 355 to 772 of the family's 1533-position model. The record is from RNAcentral.